GCCGCGUGAGUGAAGAAGGCCUUCGGGUUGUAAAGCUCUUUUGUCAGGGAAGAAACGGGUGAGGUUAAUACCUUUGCCUAAUGACGGUACCUGAAGAAUAAGCACCGGCUAACUACGUGCCAGCAGCCGCGGUAAUACGUAGGGUGCAAGCGUUAAUCGGAAUUACUGGGCGUAAAGCGUGCGCAGGCGGUUAUACAAGACAGAUGUGAAAUCCCCGGGCUCAACCUGGGAAUUGCAUUUGUGACUGUAUGGCUAGAGUGUGUCAGAGGGGGGUAGAAUUCCACGUGUAGCAGUGAAAUGCGUAGAUAUGUGGAGGAAUACCGAUGGCGAAGGCAGCCCCCUGGGAUAACACUGACGCUCAUGCACGAAAGCGUGGGGAGCAAACAGGAUUAGAUACCCUGGUAGUCCACGCCCUAAACGAUGUCUACUAGUUGUCGGGUCUUAAUUGACUUGGUAACGCAGCUAACGCGUGAAGUAGACCGCCUGGGGAGUACGGUCGCAAGAUUAAAACUCAAAGGAAUUGACGG
RNAcentral lists this ribosomal RNA (527 nucleotides) under uncultured Burkholderiales bacterium. Its description in RNAcentral is "bacterial SSU rRNA". It matches the Rfam family "Bacterial small subunit ribosomal RNA", at positions 396 to 916 of the family's 1533-position model. The record is from RNAcentral. Lineage: Bacteria; Pseudomonadati; Pseudomonadota; Betaproteobacteria; Burkholderiales.